GACGAACGCUGGCGGCGUGCUUAACACAUGCAAGUCGAGCGGGUUUAGCUUUCGGGCUAGAUCAGCGGCGGACGGGUGCGUAACGCGUGAAUAAUCUGUCCUUGCUAGGGGGAUAACGAUUGGAAACAGUCGCUAAUACCGCAUAAGACCACGGGAGGGAGUCCUUCUGGGGUAAAAGGAGUAACAUCUGAGCGAGGGUGAGUUCGCGUCCCAUUAGGUAGUUGGCGAGGUAAAUGCUCACCAAGCCUGCGAUGGGUAGCCGAUCUGAGAGGAUGACCGGCCACACUGGAACUGAGAAACGGUCCAGACUCCUACGGGAGGCAGCAGUGGGGAAUAUUGGGCAAUGGGCGAAAGCCUGACCCAGCGACGCCGCGUGAGGGAAGAAGGCCUUCGGGUUGUAAACCUCUGUCCCAUGUGAAGAGGAGAAGACGGUAGCAUGGGAGGAAGCCCCGGCUAACUACGUGCCAGCAGCCGCGGUAAUACGUAGGGGGCGAGCGUUGUCCGGAAUGACUGGGCGUAAAGGGCGUGUAGGCGGCCGAAUAAGUAUCAGGUGGAAGUCCCGAAUUCAAAGCGGGAAUUGCCUGGUAGACUGUUUGGCUUGAGUGUCGGAGAGGUAAGUGGAAUUCCCGGUGUAGCGGUGAAAUGCGUAGAGAUCGGGAGGAACACCAGUGGCGAAGGCGACUUACUGGACGAAGACUGACGCUGAGACGCGAAAGCGUGGGUAGCAAACAGGAUUAGAUACCCUGGUAGUCCACGCUGUAAACGAUGGAUGCUAGGUGUAGGAGGUAUCGACCCCUUCUGUGCCGUAGUUAACUCAAUAAGCAUCCCGCCUGGGGAGUACGGCCGCAAGGUUGAAACUCAAAGGAAUUGACGGGACCCCGCACAAGCAGCGGAGCAUGUGGUUUAAUUCGACGCAACGCGAAGAACCUUACCAGGUCUUGACAUCGACGGAACCUUAAGAGAUUAGGGGUGCCUGCAAGGGAGCCGGAAGACAGGUGGUGCAUGGUUGUCGUCAGCUCGUGUCGUGAGAUGUUGGGUUAAGUCCCGCAACGAGCGCAACCCUUGUCGUCAGUUACUAACGGGUGAAGCCGAGGACUCUGACGAGACUGCCGUGGACAACACGGAGGAAGGUGGGGAUGACGUCAAAUCAUCAUGCCCCUUAUGACCUGGGCUACACACGUGCUACAAUGGCCGGAACAAAGUGGAACGAAACCGUAAGGUGGAGUGGAUCACAAAAACCGGUCUCAGUUCAGAUUGUGGGCUGCAACCCGCCCACAUGAAGUAGGAGUUGCUAGUAAUCGCGAAUCAGCAUGUCGCGGUGAAUACGUUCCCGGG
RNAcentral lists this ribosomal RNA (1335 nucleotides) under uncultured Eubacteriales bacterium. RNAcentral's name for it is "uncultured Clostridiales bacterium 16S ribosomal RNA". It matches the Rfam family "Bacterial small subunit ribosomal RNA", at positions 28 to 1378 of the family's 1533-position model. Lineage: Bacteria; Bacillati; Bacillota; Clostridia; Eubacteriales. The record is from RNAcentral.